GUGGCUCAAAGGUUAAAGCGUCUGCCUCCAAUGCAGGAGACGUGGGUUCGAUCCAUC
Molecule: transfer RNA, 57 nt
Filed under: Bos taurus (domestic cattle)
Lineage: Eukaryota; Metazoa; Chordata; Mammalia; Artiodactyla; Bovidae
Also listed under: 1 other name
Rfam family: tRNA
About the family: Transfer RNA (tRNA) molecules are approximately 80 nucleotides in length.
Source: Rfam by way of RNAcentral